GUCUACCGUCAUAUCAUCCUGAACAUACCCAAUCUCGUCUGAUCUUGGAAGCUAAGCAGGGUCAGGCCUGGUUAGUACUUGGAUGGCAGACU
This is a ribosomal RNA of Chlorocebus sabaeus (green monkey), 92 nucleotides long. NCBI's taxonomy places the organism in Eukaryota, Metazoa, Chordata, Mammalia, Primates, Cercopithecidae. The record is from Ensembl.